UUUUUCUUUUUUCUUUUUUUUUGGUUUGGAUAUAGAGAGAGUGAGAGAGACAGUGAGAAGAGGAUCGUGUGGAAAUGAGGAUCUUAGAGAUGGAUUGGAUAGAUAAAGAGGAGAAAGGAGCUAAACCACCCGCCUACUUCUGGCCUCUAUUUUCUCUCGUUUUCGUCUUCGUUGCUUGGUUUCGUUUGUGUUUGGGUGAUGAUGUAGCUUACUACGUCUCUG
RNAcentral lists this unclassified non-coding RNA (222 nucleotides) under Hevea brasiliensis (rubber tree). Lineage: Eukaryota; Viridiplantae; Streptophyta; Magnoliopsida; Malpighiales; Euphorbiaceae. The record is from RNAcentral.